AGGGCUACACACGUGCUACAAUGGCCGGUACAGAGGGUUGCCAAGCCGCGAGGUGGAGCCAAUCCCAGAAAGCCGAUCGUAGUCCGGAUUGUUCUCUGCAACUCGAGAGCAUGAAGUCGGAAUCGCUAGUAAUCGCGGAUCAGCAUGUCGCGGUGAAUACGUUCCCGGGUCUU
Molecule: ribosomal RNA, 173 nt
Filed under: uncultured Thiobacillus sp.
Lineage: Bacteria; Pseudomonadati; Pseudomonadota; Betaproteobacteria; Nitrosomonadales; Thiobacillaceae
Description: partial 16S ribosomal RNA
Rfam family: Bacterial small subunit ribosomal RNA
Source: RNAcentral